AUAAAAAGUAAUUUUUAAAACUAAAUUAUUAAUAGUUAUGUUCUUUAAAAUUAAAAAAUUUGGCGGUAUUUUAGUCUUUUCAGAGGAAUCUGUCCUAUAAUUGAUAACCCACGAUUAAUUCAACUUAAAUUAGAAAUUUAUAUAUCGUUGUAAUAGAAUAUUUUAAUAGAAUUUUUAAUAUUCAAAAUUUAUGAUAUUAAAGAAAAUCAGAUCAAGAUGUAGUUUAUAUUUAAGUAGAGAUGGAUUACAAUAGUAAAAAUUUUUGGAUUCAUAUUUUAAAAUUAUGAUGAAAUAGGAUUUGAAAGUAAUUAGAUUUAUUUAUUUUUAAUGAUUAAGCUCUAAAAUAUGC
RNAcentral lists this ribosomal RNA (349 nucleotides) under Serangium sp. CO631. RNAcentral describes it as "partial 12S ribosomal RNA". Lineage: Eukaryota; Metazoa; Arthropoda; Insecta; Coleoptera; Coccinellidae. The record is from RNAcentral.